This 1048-nucleotide ribosomal RNA is filed under the name fungal endophyte. Its description in RNAcentral is "eukaryotic LSU rRNA". The stretch from base 472 to 1048 matches the Rfam family "Eukaryotic large subunit ribosomal RNA", at positions 1 to 589 of the family's 3401-position model. Lineage: Eukaryota; Fungi. The record is from RNAcentral.
ACUCCCAAACCCCUGUGAACAUACCUAUCGUUGCUUCGGCGGGAUCGCCCCGGCGCCAUCGCGGCCCGGACCCAGGCGCCCGCCGGAGGACCCAAACUCUUGAAUUUAUGAAGUAUCUUCUGAGUAAACAAGCAAAUAAAUUAAAACUUUCAACAACGGAUCUCUUGGUUCUGGCAUCGAUGAAGAACGCAGCGAAAUGCGAUAAGUAAUGUGAAUUGCAGAAUUCCGUGAAUCAUCGAAUCUUUGAACGCACAUUGCGCCCGCCAGUAUUCUGGCGGGCAUGCCUGUUCGAGCGUCAUUUCAACCCUCAAGCCCCUCGGGCUUGGUGUUGGGGCUCGGCCCGUCCCUUAGCGGCGGCGCCGUCCCCGAAAUUUAUUGGCGGUCUCGCUGCAGCCUCCCCUGCGUAGUAGCUAACACCUCGCAACGGGAACUCAGCGCGGCCACGCCGUUAAACCCCAACUUCUGAAAGGUUGACCUCGGAUCAGGUAGGAAUACCCGCUGAACUUAAGCAUAUCAAUAAGCGGAGGAAAAGAAACCAACAGGGAUUGCCCUAGUAACGGCGAGUGAAGCGGCAACAGCUCAAAUUUGAAAUCUGGCCCUCGGGUCCGAGUUGUAAUUUGUAGAGGAUGCUUUUGGUGCGGUGCCUUCCGAGUUCCCUGGAACGGGACGCCAUAGAGGGUGAGAGCCCCGUCUGGUUGGACACCAAUCCUCUGUAAAGCUCCUUCGACGAGUCGAGUAGUUUGGGAAUGCUGCUCUAAAUGGGAGGUAUAUGUCUUCUAAAGCUAAAUACCGGCCAGAGACCGAUAGCGCACAAGUAGAGUGAUCGAAAGAUGAAAAGCACUUUGAAAAGAGGGUUAAACAGUACGUGAAAUUGUUGAAAGGGAAGCGCUUGUGACCAGACUUGGGCCCGGUUAAUCAUCCAGCGUUCUCGCUGGUGCACUUGGCCGGCCCAGGCCAGCAUCAGUUCGGCGCGGGGGAUAAAGGUUUCGGGAAUGUGGCUCCUCCGGGAGUGUUAUAGCCCGUUGCGUAAUACCCUGCACUGGACUGA